RNAcentral lists this ribosomal RNA (541 nucleotides) under Fusarium cuneirostrum. Its description in RNAcentral is "eukaryotic LSU rRNA". The stretch from base 181 to 334 matches the Rfam family "5.8S ribosomal RNA". Lineage: Eukaryota; Fungi; Ascomycota; Sordariomycetes; Hypocreales; Nectriaceae. The record is from RNAcentral.
GUUGGUGAACCAGCGGAGGGAUCAUUACCGAGUUAUACAACUCCCAAACCCCUGUGAACUUACCUAUAACGUUGCUUCGGCGGGAAACCGACGGCCCCGUAAGACGGGCCGCCCCCGCCAGAGGACCCCCUAACUCUUGUUAUAUCCUGUUUCUCUGAGUACAACAAGCAAAUAAAUUAAAACUUUCAACAACGGAUCUCUUGGCUCUGGCAUCGAUGAAGAACGCAGCGAAACGCGAUAAGUAAUGUGAAUUGCAGAAUUUAGUGAAUCAUCGAAUCUUUGAACGCACAUUGCGCCCGCCAGUAUUCUGGCGGGCAUGCCUGUCCGAGCGUCAUUACAACCCUCAGGCCCCCGGGCCUGGUGUUGGGGAUCGGCGGAGCCCUCCGGGGCACACGCCGUCCCCCAAAUUCAGUGGCGGUCUCGCUGCAGCCUCCAUUGCGUAGUAGCUAACACCUCGCAACUGGAAGGCGGCGCGGCCACGCCGUAAAACCCCCCAACUUCUGAAUGUUGACCUCGGAUCAGGUAGGAAUACCCGCUGAAC